This 904-nucleotide ribosomal RNA is filed under the name uncultured bacterium. RNAcentral describes it as "bacterial SSU rRNA". It matches the Rfam family "Bacterial small subunit ribosomal RNA", at positions 8 to 916 of the family's 1533-position model. The record is from RNAcentral.
AGAGUUUGAUCCUGGCUCAGGAUGAACGCUGGCGGCGUGCCUAACACAUGCAAGUCGAGCGGGAAGCCUUUGAAUGAAACUUCGGUCGAAUGAUAAGGUGGAUAGCGGCGGACGGGUGAGUAACGCGUAGGUAAGCUGCCCUUCACACAGGGAUAGCCUAGGGAAACUUGGAUUAAUACCUGAUAAUGCAUUUUGAUCACAUGUUCGAAAUGCCAAAGAUUUAUCGGUGAAGGAUGCACCUGCGUCUGAUUAGCUAGUUGGUGAGGUAACGGCCCACCAAGGCAACGAUCAGUAGCCGACCUGAGAGGGUAAUCGGCCACAUUGGAACUGAGACACGGUCCAAACUCCUACGGGAGGCAGCAGUGAGGAAUAUUGCACAAUGGAGGAAACUCUGAUGCAGCAACGCCGCGUGAGCGAUGAAGGUCUUCGGAUCGUAAAGCUCUGUCCUUGGGGACGAAUACUGACGGUACCCAAGGAGGAAGCCCCGGCUAACUACGUGCCAGCAGCCGCGGUAAUACGUAGGGGGCGAGCGUUAUCCGGAAUUAUUGGGCGUAAAGAGUACGUAGGUGGCUGCGUAAGCGAGAGGUGAAAGCCCGGGGCUUAACUCCGGCGAGCCUUUCGAACUGCGUGGCUUGAGUGCAGGAGGGGAAAGUGGAAUUCCUAGUGUAGCGGUGAAAUGCGUAGAUAUUAGGAGGAACACCAGUGGCGAAGGCGACUUUCUGGACUGUAACUGACACUGAGGUACGAAAGCGUGGGGAGCAAACAGGAUUAGAUACCCUGGUAGUCCACGCUGUAAACGAUGAGCACUAGAUGUUGGCGAUAUAGUGUCAGCGGUACAGCGAAAGUGUUAAGUAUUCCACCUGGGGAGUACGCCGGCAACGGUGAAACUCAAAGGAAUUGACGG